CCUACGGGUGGCAGCAGUGGGGAAUAUUGCACAAUGGGGGAAACCCUGAUGCAGCGACGCCGCGUGAAGGAAGAAGUAUUUCGGUAUGUAAACUUCUAUCAGCAGGGAAGAAAAUGACGGUAUCUGAAUAAGAAGCCCCGGCUAACUACGUGCCAGCAGCCGCGGUAAUACGUAGGGGGCAAGUGUUAUCCGUAAUUACGGGGGGGAAAGGGAGCGGAGGCGGUGCAGCAAGUCAGAAGUGAAAGCCCGGGGCUCAACUCCGGGACUGCUUUUGAUACUGUUGAACUAGAUUGCAGGAGAGGUAAGUCGAAUUCCUAGUGUAGCGGUGAAAUGCGUAGAUAUUAGGAGGAACACCAGUGGCGAAGGCGGCUUACUGGACUGUAAAUGACGCUGAGGCUCGAAAGCGUGGGGAGCAAACAGGAUGAGAUACCCGAGUAGUC
RNAcentral lists this ribosomal RNA (440 nucleotides) under uncultured bacterium. RNAcentral describes it as "partial 16S ribosomal RNA". It matches the Rfam family "Bacterial small subunit ribosomal RNA", at positions 338 to 795 of the family's 1533-position model. The record is from RNAcentral.